CCUACGGGAGGCAGCAGUGGGGAAUAUUGGACAAUGGGCGCAAGCCUGAUCCAGCCAUACCGCGUGGGUGAAGAAGGCCUUCGGGUUGUAAAGCCCUUUUGUUGGGAAAGAAAAGCAGUCGGCUAAUACCCGGUUGUUCUGACGGUACCCAAAGAAUAAGCACCGGCUAACUUCGUGCCAGCAGCCGCGGUAAUACGAAGGGUGCAAGCGUUACUCGGAAUUACUGGGCGUAAAGCGUGCGUAGGUGGUUGUUUAAGUCUGUUGUGAAAGCCCUGGGCUCAACCUGGGAAUUGCAGUGGAUACUGGGCGACUAGAGUGUGGUAGAGGGUAGUGGAAUUCCCGGUGUAGCAGUGAAAUGCGUAGAGAUCGGGAGGAACAUCCAUGGCGAAGGCAGCUACCUGGACCAACACUGACACUGAGGCACGAAAGCGUGGGGAGCAAACAGGAUUAGAUACCCUGGUAGUCCACGCCCUAAACGAUGCGAACUGGAUGUUGGGUGCAAUUUGGCACGCAGUAUCGAAGCUAACGCGUUAAGUUCGCCGCCUGGGGAGUACGGUCGCAAGACUGAAACUCA
This 574-nucleotide ribosomal RNA is filed under the name uncultured bacterium. Its description in RNAcentral is "bacterial SSU rRNA". It matches the Rfam family "Bacterial small subunit ribosomal RNA", at positions 338 to 903 of the family's 1533-position model. The record is from RNAcentral.